CCUACGGGAGGCAGCAGUGAGGAAUAUUGGUCAAUGGACGAGAGUCUGAACCAGCCAAGUAGCGUGAAGGAUGACUGCCCUCUGGGUUGUAAACUUCUUUUAUAAAGGAAUAAAACGAGGCACGUGUGCCUUUUUGCAUGUACUUUAUGAAUAAGGAUCGGCUAACUCCGUGCCAGCAGCCGCGGUAAUACGGAGGAUCCGAGCGUUAUCCGGAUUUAUUGGGUUUAAAGGGAGCGUAGAUGGGUUGUUAAGUCAGAUGUGAAAGUUUGCGGCUCAACCGUAGAAUUGCAAUUGAUACUGGCAGACUUGAGUACAGUUGAGGUAGGCGGAAUUCGUGGUGUAGCGGUGAAAUGCUUAGAUAUCACGAAGAACCCCGAUUGCGAAGGCAGCUUACUAAACUGUGACUGACAUUGAUGCUCGAAAGUGUGGGUAUCAAACAGGAUUAGAUACCCCAGUAGUC
RNAcentral lists this ribosomal RNA (460 nucleotides) under uncultured bacterium. RNAcentral describes it as "partial 16S ribosomal RNA". It matches the Rfam family "Bacterial small subunit ribosomal RNA", at positions 338 to 795 of the family's 1533-position model. The record is from RNAcentral.